RNAcentral lists this unclassified non-coding RNA (337 nucleotides) under soil metagenome. RNAcentral's name for it is "partial contains 5.8S ribosomal RNA, internal transcribed spacer 2, and large subunit ribosomal RNA". The stretch from base 1 to 120 matches the Rfam family "5.8S ribosomal RNA", at positions 35 to 154 of the family's 154-position model. The record is from RNAcentral.
GAUGAAGAACGUAGCGAAAUGCGAUAAGUAAUGCGAAUUGCAGAAUUCAGUGAGUCAUCGAAUCUUUGAACGCACAUUGCGCCCUGUGGUAUUCUGCAGGGCAUGCCUGUUCGAGCGUCAUUUGUACCCUCCAGCCCUGCUGGGUAUUGGGCGUUUUGUUCCGCUACGCGCGUGAACUCGCCUCAAAUGCAUUGGCAGCCCGCCGUCCCGUGUGGGAGCGCAGCACAUUUUGCGCUCUCCGCUGCUGACGGUGGCAUCCACAAGUCUACCAUUUUACGCUUGACCUCGGAUCAGGUAGGGAUACCCGCUGAACUUAAGCAUAUCAAUAAGCGGAGGA